Molecule: ribosomal RNA, 753 nt
Filed under: Bacillus spizizenii
Lineage: Bacteria; Bacillati; Bacillota; Bacilli; Caryophanales; Bacillaceae
Description: bacterial SSU rRNA
Rfam family: Bacterial small subunit ribosomal RNA
Source: RNAcentral
UGCAAGUCGAGCGGACAGAUGGGAGCUUGCUCCCUGAUGUUAGCGGCGGACGGGUGAGUAACACGUGGGUAACCUGCCUGUAAGACUGGGAUAACUCCGGGAAACCGGGGCUAAUACCGGAUGCUUGUUUGAACCGCAUGGUUCAAACAUAAAAGGUGGCUUCGGCUACCACUUACAGAUGGACCCGCGGCGCAUUAGCUAGUUGGUGAGGUAAUGGCUCACCAAGGCAACGAUGCGUAGCCGACCUGAGAGGGUGAUCGGCCACACUGGGACUGAGACACGGCCCAGACUCCUACGGGAGGCAGCAGUAGGGAAUCUUCCGCAAUGGACGAAAGUCUGACGGAGCAACGCCGCGUGAGUGAUGAAGGUUUUCGGAUCGUAAAGCUCUGUUGUUAGGGAAGAACAAGUACCGUUCGAAUAGGGCGGUACCUUGACGGUACCUAACCAGAAAGCCACGGCUAACUACGUGCCAGCAGCCGCGGUAAUACGUAGGUGGCAAGCGUUGUCCGGAAUUAUUGGGCGUAAAGGGCUCGCAGGCGGUUUCUUAAGUCUGAUGUGAAAGCCCCCGGCUCAACCGGGGAGGGUCAUUGGAAACUGGGGAACUUGAGUGCAGAAGAGGAGAGUGGAAUUCCACGUGUAGCGGUGAAAUGCGUAGAGAUGUGGAGGAACACCAGUGGCGAAGGCGACUCUCUGGUCUGUAACUGACGCUGAGGAGCGAAAGCGUGGGGAGCGAACAGGAUUAGAUACCCUGGU